CAUGGCGCUAAGGGAUGCCUUACGCCUGCUCGUCGAACGGCAGCACGGACUUCGGUCUGGUGGCGAGUGGCGAACGGGUGAGUAAUGUAUCGGAACGUGCCCAGUAGCGGGGGAUAACUACGCGAAAGCGUAGCUAAUACCGCAUACGCCCUACGGGGGAAAGCAGGGGAUCGUAAGACCUUGCACUAUUGGAGCGGCCGAUAUCGGAUUAGCUAGUUGGUGGGGUAACGGCUCACCAAGGCGACGAUCCGUAGCUGGUUUGAGAGGACGACCAGCCACACUGGGACUGAGACACGGCCCAGACUCCUACGGGAGGCAGCAGUGGGGAAUUUUGGACAAUGGGGGAAACCCUGAUCCAGCCAUCCCGCGUGUGCGAUGAAGGCCUUCGGGUUGUAAAGCACUUUUGGCAGGAAAGAAACGUCAUGGGUUAAUACCCCGUGAAACUGACGGUACCUGCAGAAUAAGCACCGGCUAACUACGUGCCAGCAGCCGCGGUAAUACGUAGGGUGCAAGCGUUAAUCGGAAUUACUGGGCGUAAAGCGUGCGCACGCCGUUCGGAAA
RNAcentral lists this ribosomal RNA (561 nucleotides) under bacterium HPC440. RNAcentral describes it as "bacterial SSU rRNA". It matches the Rfam family "Bacterial small subunit ribosomal RNA", at positions 29 to 586 of the family's 1533-position model. The record is from RNAcentral.